AACGAACGCUGGCGGCAUGCCUAACACAUGCAAGUCGAACGAGACCUUCGGGUCUAGUGGCGCACGGGUGCGUAACGCGUGGGAACCUGCCCCUAGGUUCGGAAUAACUCCCCGAAAGGGGUGCUAAUACCGGAUAAUGUCUUCGGACCAAAGAUUUAUCGCCUUUGGAUGGGCCCGCGUUGGAUUAGCUAGUUGGUAGGGUAAAAGCCUACCAAGGCGACGAUCCAUAGCUGGUCUGAGAGGAUGAUCAGCCACACUGGGACUGAGACACGGCCCAGACUCCUACGGGAGGCAGCAGUGGGGAAUAUUGGACAAUGGGCGAAAGCCUGAUCCAGCAAUGCCGCGUGAGUGAUGAAGGCCUUAGGGUUGUAAAGCUCUUUUACCCGGGAUGAUAAUGACAGUACCGGGAGAAUAAGCGCCGGCUAACUCCGUG
RNAcentral lists this ribosomal RNA (433 nucleotides) under uncultured bacterium. RNAcentral describes it as "partial 16S ribosomal RNA". It matches the Rfam family "Bacterial small subunit ribosomal RNA", at positions 29 to 507 of the family's 1533-position model. The record is from RNAcentral.